This is a long non-coding RNA of Pomacea canaliculata, 1155 nucleotides long. RefSeq lists it as uncharacterized. Lineage: Eukaryota; Metazoa; Mollusca; Gastropoda; Architaenioglossa; Ampullariidae. The transcript has 4 exons. The record is from RefSeq and is a predicted model, not a curated record.
GACGCGUUGUAAGAAGAAAAUAGACGCUGGCACGUCUUCAUUUACAACGUAGCGGGUAUCCACCCGGGUAGCUGAAAGCUGAAUUCCUGCCCUGGACAUUGCGAUCACUUGUACACAUCUUCCUAAACAUAACGCAUCGCUGGGAGCUACUUAAUUCGACAAAUUAUAUUGAGGCCUUUUUAUAGUUAUUCUCAAUGGGACGUAGUCAGUCAUUCUGGCUAGGAGUCCUUGUAGGCUUGGUAUUGGCCUACGUCCUCAUGGCGGUCCACGUGCUCAAGAUCGCGAGCACACCUACCCAAGUGCAUAUCUUAAGUCACGUAGGACGCUCCAAUCACUUAAUCAACAAGUAUGGCGAUGAAGACGAAGCCUUGGCCUCCCCAGAUGACACUUUUCAAGAAGAAGAAAUCGUUGCAGUACGAGCACCUGUAGGAGAACGAGUGGCUAAGCUAGAGAAGCGAGUCCGGCACAUCCUGCGGGAAAAUCAACGGCUCCGCAAAGUGUGGGCAUUUUCCAGCAGAACAUGGGUGACAUGGUGGAACUUGCCAGCCAAAUUCUGGAUCAGAAAGUAAUUUUCACAGAAAUCUUGGCCACGCAGCUCCGGAACCUCACCAACCAAAGUACCGCAGCGCUGAAGGAAGUGUGUGAGUAGCGAAAUGGGAGAAGCCAACCUCGAAGACAUGUGUCUGCAAGCUCUGCGUAGCAAAUAAUCUGGACAAACAUGGGUAUCGGGUAAAUGUGUAAAUGCCGGUACACGUGAUAGAAAUAUGAUAGCGAUACUUAUCUUGUUAAUCCGAAUGACUUAUAUAACUCAGGAAAAAUUAUGUCUUUUAGGGUACGCCUGUUCCUCGCUUCUGAAUCUCAGAACUCGGGAUACUGUUCGAUACUUUGUACUAAAAGCAAUCUUGAACAUAUUUUCGCGUACAAAUUAAUAAUAAAAUGUAACUGUUAAAACACAUUGACAGGAAAACUAUUAAAAUAUCUUUCUAAGAGUGUAUAUCAAGUUUAAGUAUUGAGCUUGUCCAAAAGGCAUCAAACACAAAGUUAACGACAGUUUCCGUGUCACAGAAAUCUAGGUAUAACACUGUUUCCCCUUGUGACAGUUUCUUUGUACUUACAAUUUAUAUUAUACUGAAUAAGAGUUGAUAAACCCAUAAA